AAACCGACACAGGUGGUCAGGUAGAGAAUACCAAGGCGCUUGAGAGAACUCGGGUGAAGGAACUAGGCAAAAUGGUGCCGUAACUUCGGGAGAAGGCACGCUGAUGGUAGGUGAAGUGACUUGCUCACGGAGCUGAAAUCAGUCGAAGAUACCAGCUGGCUGCAACUGUUUAUUAAAAACACAGCACUGUGCAAACACGAAAGUGGACGUAUACGGUGUGACGCCUGCCCGGUGCCGGAAGGUUAAUUGAUGGGG
Molecule: ribosomal RNA, 255 nt
Filed under: Klebsiella oxytoca
Lineage: Bacteria; Pseudomonadati; Pseudomonadota; Gammaproteobacteria; Enterobacterales; Enterobacteriaceae
Description: partial 23S ribosomal RNA
Rfam family: Bacterial large subunit ribosomal RNA
Source: RNAcentral